Molecule: long non-coding RNA, 1244 nt
Organism: Felis catus (domestic cat)
Lineage: Eukaryota; Metazoa; Chordata; Mammalia; Carnivora; Felidae
Exons: 3
Source: RefSeq, a predicted model, not a curated record
CUUCCAUGGUUUCCAGGGAAGCUUUAGAGCUGAGAACAUUCGUUUGGCCUUCUCAAGGUCUUUGUGACCCAAAUAGGGUGUCCAGCCUAACUCAUCUGCACAUUUACGCCUGGGCCUAGAUGAAAGGGGUGAAUCUAAGAAAUUGGUGGGGAAGAGAAUAAACCUAACGAUGUCUUUGCAUAUGUGUCUUCCUGCUUUUGCCUUUUUCCAGACUAAGUUAAAUAGCCUGGUUGGCAAUUGCUGAGACAGGUUUAAAGCCAAUUCAGUAUUUCUGAAAUAUAUGCAAUAUCAUGGCCGUGGUGCCAACUUUGGUAGAAACUGGGUCAAAGGGUGGAGUAGGAGGAAGGGAUGUUCUUCAAAUGGAACACUCAGCCGUCUGCCAACCAAGCUAUGAUUGAAGAGUAAGGUUCUUGGAGAACACAAAGGAAAAUUGGCCGUGAAUGUGGACCAAAGCAGCAGAUUCCCUGAAAAUGUCCCAGCACUUCUCCAGUAAUCACUAUGAGCAAAUGAUUGAUGAUGACUGGAGCCUCCCAGAAUCUUGGUCAUACAUGAGACGACACAGGAGACCAUUUGAGGACAUAUUGAGAAGGUGGCCAUCUGCAAGCUGACAAAGGAGACCUUCCUGGAAACCAACACUGUUAGAGCCUUGAUCUUGGACUUCUAGCCUCCAGAACUGUGGGGAAACAAAUUUUUGUUGUUUAAUCCACUCAUUUUCCUGAUUCUUUGAAUAACUGGGAAUGUUUUUAAUUAGAUACAAGACAUUGUGAAUUUCUAUACAUAUUCUCAAGCUUUGGGGAUGCAGUUAAAUCAUGUGGAAACAAUAGGAUCCUUUUAAGGCUAGCUCUUAAGACUUGUUAAGCUGGAGCAGUGCAGUCUUUAGUAUAGGGCUAGUUUUGUUCCAGUACUAAGGCAAUAUAUGUCCUUUGCCUGAUGCUCUGUGCGCAUGAACUAUCCCUUGCUUUUUAUAGGCUCUAGAGAUUCUCACUGAUAUUUUCAGCUAUUAUUUUCCGCUGGCCUUGGAGGAAAAUAAGACACAUGUACUCAUUGGUAUUGAGCCAGAGCCUCAAGAGGCCUCUCUGUAGAUUUCCAGAAUUCUCUUUCUGUCCUUCUCUCCUCUGCCCUGUGAACAUUAGCUGCCUUGGCCAUCCCAAACUCCAUCUCCUCAUUUAAUUUUUUUAAUGUUUUUAUUUUAUUUUUGAGAGAGAGAGAGACAGAGACAGAGAGACAGAGGCAGAAUGCGAGCU